AGUGAACGCUGGCGGUAGGCCUAACACAUGCAAGUCGAACGGCAGCACAGUAAGAGCUUGCUCUUACGGGUGGCGAGUGGCGGACGGGUGAGGAAUACAUCGGAAUCUACUUUUUCGUGGGGGAUAACGUAGGGAAACUUACGCUAAUACCGCAUACGACCUACGGGUGAAAGCAGGGGAUCCUCGGACCUUGCGCGAUUGAAUGAGCCGAUGUCGGAUUAGCUAGUUGGCGGGGUAAAGGCCCACCAAGGCGACGAUCCGUAGCUGGUCUGAGAGGAUGAUCAGCCACACUGGAACUGAGACACGGUCCAGACUCCUACGGGAGGCAGCAGUGGGGAAUAUUGGACAAUGGGCGCAAGCCUGAUCCAGCCAUACCGCGUGGGUGAAGAAGGCCUUCGGGUUGUAAAGCCCUUUUGUUGGGAAAGAAAAGCAGCAGGUUAAUACCCCGCUGUUCUGACGGUACCCAAAGAAUAAGCACCGGCUAACUUCGUGC
This 493-nucleotide ribosomal RNA is filed under the name uncultured bacterium. RNAcentral's name for it is "partial 16S ribosomal RNA". It matches the Rfam family "Bacterial small subunit ribosomal RNA", at positions 29 to 508 of the family's 1533-position model. The record is from RNAcentral.